GUGGGGAAUCUUGCGCAAUGGGCGAAAGCCUGACGCAGCCAUGCCGCGUGGAUGAUGAAGGUCUUAGGAUUGUAAAAUCCUUUCACCGGUGAAGAUAAUGACUGUAGCCGGAGAAGAAGCCCCGGCUAACUUCGUGCCAGCAGCCGCGGUAAUACAGAGGUCUCAAGCGUUGUUCGGAAUUAUUGGGCGUAAAGGGCGCGUAGGCGGGAAGGUGUGUCGACCUGUAAAUCUAUCGUUUCAAGCGGUAGGCUUGGGUUGAAACUGCCUUUCUAGAGGAUUUCAGGGGAGUUUGGAAUUUACGGUGUAGCAGUGAAAUGCGUGGAUAUCGUAAGGAAGGCUUGUGGCGAAGGCGAAACUCUGGGGAAUACCUGACGCUGAGGCGCGAAGGCUAGGUUAGCAAACGGGAUUAGAUACCCUAGUAGUCC
This 425-nucleotide ribosomal RNA is filed under the name uncultured bacterium. Its description in RNAcentral is "partial 16S ribosomal RNA". It matches the Rfam family "Bacterial small subunit ribosomal RNA", at positions 354 to 796 of the family's 1533-position model. The record is from RNAcentral.